GGAAGAGAAGAGAAAAGUUUUGCCAAGCGGAUAAGCGCCGGAGAACAGAUGUGUGUUUCGAAGAUGGAUAGACUUAAGUCUUCAGUGAAGUCUCUGCAAUUUAUGAGAGCAAGAGAAGCCGUCUCACUGGAGAGCAUGCUGAAAAACACCACAAUCUGCAAAUUUUAUUUAACUUUUUUUUUAUUUACUUUAUAAAACUUCAGGAAGCUAUAAUGCGAUGCUGCUGUCCCUGGGAACUCCCUGUACUUUUUGUUAGAAUUUUGAAACAAAGAUGUCUAUUGUCUAAGAUUUUUUUUAAAAACCCUUUAACGUGUUGCAAAUCUGAAAAGCUGUUUAAUAAACAUAUGCUGAAAGGCA
Long non-coding RNA from Toxotes jaculatrix (banded archerfish), 357 nucleotides. RefSeq lists it as uncharacterized. NCBI's taxonomy places the organism in Eukaryota, Metazoa, Chordata, Actinopteri, Toxotidae. The transcript is spliced from 2 exons. The record is from RefSeq and is a predicted model, not a curated record.